This 197-nucleotide ribosomal RNA is filed under the name Odontella aurita. Its description in RNAcentral is "partial Bacterial large subunit ribosomal RNA". It matches the Rfam family "Bacterial large subunit ribosomal RNA", at positions 1341 to 1541 of the family's 2925-position model. The record is from RNAcentral. Lineage: Eukaryota; Bacillariophyta; Thalassiosirophyceae; Eupodiscales; Odontellaceae.
AAGACUAAGGUUUCCUCAGCGAUGCUAAUCAGCUGAGGGUUAGUCGGGUCCUAAGGCGAAUCCGAAGGGAGUAGUCGAUGGAUAACAGGUUAAUAUUCCUGUACUUCUUAUAAUUGCGAUGGGGUGACGGAGUAUUGAAAGCACCGCGAACUGACGGAAUAGUUCGUUGAAGUAUGUAGCUAUAGAACCAGAUUAAG